AGAACGAACGCUGGCGGCAGGCCUAACACAUGCAAGUCGAACGCUCUUUUCGGAGAGAGUGGCGCACGGGUGAGUAACGCGUGGGAAUCUGCCCUUUGGUUCGGAAUAACCCUGGGAAACUAGGGCUAACACCGGAUAAGCCCCGCGAGGGGGAAAGUUUACGCCGAAGGAGGAGCCCGCGUCCGAUUAGCUAGUUGGUGAGGUAAGAGCUCACCAAGGCUACGAUCGGUAGCUGGUCUGAGAGGACGAUCAGCCACACUGGGACUGAGACACGGCCCAGACUCCUACGGGAGGCAGCAGUGGGGAAUAUUGGACAAUGGGCGCAAGCCUGAUCCAGCCAUGCCGCGUGAGUGAUGAAGGCCUUCGGUUGUAAGACUCUUUGGUCGGGACGAGUGAUGACGGUACCCGCAGAAUAAGCCCGACCGAAACUCGCGCACGCACGCCGC
Molecule: ribosomal RNA, 446 nt
Filed under: uncultured soil bacterium
Lineage: Bacteria
Description: bacterial SSU rRNA
Rfam family: Bacterial small subunit ribosomal RNA
Source: RNAcentral